UACGUAGGGGGCAAGCGUUGUCCGGAUUUAUUGGGCGUAAAGAGCGUGUAGGCGGUUAGGUAGGUCCGUUGUGAAAACUCGAGGCUCAACCUCGAGACGCCGAUGGAAACCAUCUGACUAGAGUCCGGAAGAGGAGAGUGGAAUUCCUGGUGUAGCGGUGAAAUGCGCAGAUAUCAGGAAGAACACCCGUGGCUAAGGCGGCUCUCUAGUACGGUACUGACGCUGAGACGCGAAAGCGUGGGGAGCGAACCGG
RNAcentral lists this ribosomal RNA (253 nucleotides) under uncultured bacterium. Its description in RNAcentral is "partial 16S ribosomal RNA". It matches the Rfam family "Bacterial small subunit ribosomal RNA", at positions 524 to 776 of the family's 1533-position model. The record is from RNAcentral.